UUUCUUGCUACUCACUUUAAUUUGCUGAUUCGACGAUCCCAGGGGAGCAUUGUUCAAAACAUGUUUAAGGGCUUCAACAAAGCGAUAUUGAUUGAGUAAUGCACAGACUUCUCCCUCAUCAGGACCAGUUGGUAUGGAUUGUUCGGAUUCGUCUUCUUUGAAGUUAUCCUCGUUGUAUUGAUCAAUGUCAAUUUUUCGAAAUGCGGAACUGGAAGUAUUCUUAGCCAUUUCUUUAUUGUAAGCAAACUUUAACACUAAUAAAGCGUAGUUUUAAUCAAAAAAAUUAAUUAAACUGAAA
Molecule: long non-coding RNA, 298 nt
Organism: Vanessa tameamea
Lineage: Eukaryota; Metazoa; Arthropoda; Insecta; Lepidoptera; Nymphalidae
Exons: 2
Source: RefSeq, a predicted model, not a curated record